AGAGUUUGAUUCUGGCUCAGAACGAACGCUGGCAGCGUGGAUUAGGCAUGCAAGUCGAACGUGAAGCUGUUGAUCAAUUCUUCGGAAGAGUGAUUCAGUGGAAAGUGGCGAAAGGGUGAGUAACGCGUGGGUAACCCACCCUGAAGUUGGGGACAACUCUUCGAAAGGGGAGCUAAUACCGAAUGUGGUCCCCCCCCGCAUGUGGGGGAGACUAAAGGUGGAAUCCUUCGGGAUCUGCCGCUUCUGGAGGGGCCCGCGUGACAUCAGCUUGUUGGUGAGGUAAUGGCUCACCAAGGCUUACGUCUAGCUGGUCUGAGAGGAUGGUCAGCCACACUGGGACUGAGACACUGCCCAGACUCCUACGGGAGGCUGCAGUCGAGAAUCAUUCACAAUGCGCGAAAGCGUGAUGAUGCGACGCUGCGUGGAGGAUGAAGGCCCUAGGGUUGUAAACUCCUGUCAUGAGGGAAAAACCGCACGGAUGUAAAUAGCGUCUGUGUUUGAUGGUACCUCAAGAGGAAGCCACGGCUAACUCUGUGCCAGCAGCCGCGGUGAUACAGAGGUGGCGAGCGUUGUUCGGAUUUACUGGGCGUAAAGCGUACGUAGGUGGUUUCGUGUGUCGGGUGUGGAAGCCCACGGCCCAACCGUGGAAUUGCACUCGAAACUGCGGGACUUGAGUGCAGGAGGGGAGAGCGGAAUUCAGGGUGUAGCGGUGAAACGCGUUGAUAUCCUGAAGAACACCGGUGGCGAAGGCGGCUCUCUGGAAUGUUACUGACACUGAGGUACGAAAGCGUGGGGAGCGAACAGGAUUAGAUACCCUGGUAGUCCACGCCGUAAACGUUGUGCACUUGGUGUGGGCGGUAUUGACCCCGUCCGUGCCGGAGCUAACGCGUUAAGUGCACCGCCUGGGGAGUACGGCCGCAAGGCUAAAACUCAAAGAAAUUGACGGGGGCCCGCACAAGCGGAGGAGCAUGUGGCUCAAUUCGAUGCAACGCGAAGAACCUUACCUGGACUUGACAUGUAACUGCAUGCCCCGGGAGACCGGGGAGGCCUUCGAGGGUGUUACACAGGUGCUGCAUGGCUGUCGUCAGUUCGUGCCGUGAGGUGUUGGGUUAAGUCCCGCAACGAACGCAACCCUUGUGUUUAGUUGCCACCGGUGGUGAUGAGCCACCGAGCACUCUAAACAGACUGCCUGUACAAGCAGGAGGAAGGUGGGGAUGACGUCAAGUCAGUAUGGCCCUUAUGUCCAGGGCUGCACACGUGCUACAAUGGCCGGUACAAUGGGAAGCAAUACCGCGAGGUGGAGCAAAUCCUCUACACCGGUCCCAGUUCGGAUUGGAGUCUGCAACUCGACUCCAUGAAGUUGGAUUCGCUAGUAAUGCCGUAUCAGCUGCGACGGCGUGAAUACGUUCCCGGGCCUUGUACACACCGCCCGUCACAUCAUGAAAGCCGUCUGCACCCGAAGUCGCCGAGCUAACCCGCAAGGGAGGCAGGUGCCGAAGGUGUGGGUGGUGAUUGG
Molecule: ribosomal RNA, 1516 nt
Filed under: metagenome
Description: bacterial SSU rRNA
Rfam family: Bacterial small subunit ribosomal RNA
Source: RNAcentral